GGAUCCAGACUUUGAUUCUGGCUCAGAUUGAACGCUGGCGGCAGGCCUAACACAUGCAAGUCGAGCGGAAACGGCAACCAUUGACUCUUCGGAUGAUUUGUUGGACGUCGAGCGGCGGACGGGUGAGUAAUGCUUAGGAAUUUGCCCAGUCGAGGGGGAUAACUAUUGGAAACGAUAGCUAAUACCGCAUACGCCCUACGGGGGAAAAGAGGGGACCUUCGGGGCCUUCUGCGAUUGGAUAAGCCUAAGUGAGAUUAGCUAGUUGGUGAGGUAAUGGCUCACCAAGGCGACGAUCUCUAGCUGGUCUGAGAGGAUGAUCAGCCACACUGGAACUGAGACACGGUCCAGACUCCUACGGGAGGCAGCAGUGGGGAAUAUUGCACAAUGGGCGCAAGCCUGAUGCAGCCAUGCCGCGUGUGUGAAGAAGGCCUUCGGGUUGUAAAGCACUUUCAGCAGUGAGGAAGGUAGUAGUGUUAAUAGCACUAUUAUAUGACGUUAGCUGCAGAAGAAGCACCGGCUAACUCCGUGCCAGCAGCCGCGGUAAU
RNAcentral lists this ribosomal RNA (545 nucleotides) under uncultured bacterium. Its description in RNAcentral is "bacterial SSU rRNA". It matches the Rfam family "Bacterial small subunit ribosomal RNA", at positions 1 to 524 of the family's 1533-position model. The record is from RNAcentral.